GCCUCGGUAGCGCAGUAGGCAGCGCGUCUGUCAUAAUCACCCAGCGAGUAACGAAGUCGUGAGUUCGAUCCUCACCCGGGCA
Araneus ventricosus is the source of this 82-nucleotide non-coding RNA. Lineage: Eukaryota; Metazoa; Arthropoda; Arachnida; Araneae; Araneidae. The record is from the annotation of a GenBank genome assembly.